Molecule: ribosomal RNA, 406 nt
Filed under: uncultured bacterium
Lineage: Bacteria
Description: partial 16S ribosomal RNA
Rfam family: Bacterial small subunit ribosomal RNA
Source: RNAcentral
ACUGAACGCUGGCGGCAGGCCUAACACAUGCAAGUCGAACGAGUGGCGGACGGGUGAGUAAUGUCUGGGAAACUGCCUGAUGGAGGGGGCCAACUACUGGAAACGGUAGCUAAUACCGCAUACUCUUGUAUGAGCCCAGAUGGGAUUCGCUAGUAGGUGGGGUAUCGGCUCACCUAGGCGACGAGCCCUAGCUGGUCUGAGAGGGUGACAAGCCACACUGGAACUGAGAGACGAUGCAGAGUCCGACGGUAGGCAGCAGGGGGGAAUAUUGCACAAUGGGCGCAAGCCUGAUGCAGCAGUGCGGCGUGUAUGUAGAAGGCCUUCGGGUUGUAAAGUACGUUCAGCGGGGAGGCGUUACCCGCAGAAGAAGCACCGGCGAGCACCGUGCCAGCAGCCGCGGUAAUUC